GUGGGGAAUUUUGGACAAUGGGCGCAAGCCUGAUCCAGCAAUGCCGCGUGCAGGAAGAAGGCCUUCGGGUUGUAAACUGCUUUUGUACGGAACGAAACGGUCCUGGUUAAUACCUGGGGCUAAUGACGGUACCGUAAGAAUAAGCACCGGCUAACUACGUGCCAGCAGCCGCGGUAAUACGUAGGGUGCGAGCGUUAAUCGGAAUUACUGGGCGUAAAGCGUGCGCAGGCGGUGCUGUAAGACAGGCGUGAAAUCCCCGGGCUCAACCUGGGAAUUGCGCUUGUGACUGCAAGGCUAGAGUGCGGCAGAGGGGGAUGGAAUUCCGCGUGUAGCAGUGAAAUGCGUAGAUAUGCGGAGGAACACCGAUGGCGAAGGCAAUCCCCUGGGCCUGCACUGACGCUCAUGCACGAAUGCGUGGGGAGCAAACAGGAUUAGAAACCCUAGUAGUCC
This 450-nucleotide ribosomal RNA is filed under the name uncultured bacterium. Its description in RNAcentral is "partial 16S ribosomal RNA". It matches the Rfam family "Bacterial small subunit ribosomal RNA", at positions 354 to 796 of the family's 1533-position model. The record is from RNAcentral.